Molecule: ribosomal RNA, 497 nt
Filed under: uncultured bacterium
Lineage: Bacteria
Description: partial 16S ribosomal RNA
Rfam family: Bacterial small subunit ribosomal RNA
Source: RNAcentral
GACGAACGCUGGCGGCGUGCCUAAUACAUGCAAGUUGAGCGCUGAAGGUUGGUACUUGUACCAACUGGAUGAGCAGCGAACGGGUGAGUAACGCGUGGGGAAUCUGCCUUUGAGCGGGGGACAACAUUUGGAAACGAAUGCUAAUACCGCAUAAAAACUUUAAACACAAGUUUUAAGUUUGAAAGAUGCAAUUGCAUCACUCAAAGAUGAUCCCGCGUUGUAUUAGCUAGUUGGUGAGGUAAAGGCUCACCAAGGCGAUGAUACAUAGCCGACCUGAGAGGGUGAUCGGCCACAUUGGGACUGAGACACGGCCCAAACUCCUACGGGAGGCAGCAGUAGGGAAUCUUCGGCAAUGGACGAAAGACUGACCGAGCAACGCCGCGUGAGUGAAGAAGGUUGUCGGAUCGUAAAACUCUGUUGGUAGAGAAGAACGUUGGUGAGAGUGGAAAGCUCAUCAAGUGACGGUAACUACCCAGAAAGGGACGGCUAACUACGUG